GAAAUGUAACACCCUUUUUGGAAAUAGAUCAUAGAUCAUGGACUGUUUUUGUAAUUUUCAACUUUUGACUAUAAAAACCCCUUUUUCACCCGUUUUCUCUCAUUUUCUCUUUCGUCGUCUCUCUCCUCACGAGAGCGCCUCUUUUCUUCUCGUGCGACCAACGGUGGAGCUUCCACCGUUCUUUCAUGAUCAAAAACAAAGAAGAGAGAGCUGCUUCUCCGUUUGGGUUUCUCACGCCUUCACGCCCUCGACGGACCACGUCUUCAGACGCCCCUUUUUCGCUCGCUUUUUCUGUGCUGCCUCCGUGAGGAAGACUACCUCCUACCUCCAGCAGACCCAGAGGCUACAAUAACGUCUUCCUCUCUCUCUGCCUCUAGCUUUCGUUGAGAUAAGGGUGAACUGGCAGAGAGGAAAGUCUGCCAGUACUUCCAUCCAAAAUCACCUCUCUGCCACCAGCACAAGGAGAGAGCGGUUGCAGACAAUCGUGCGAUUGCUGCUCGUCGGCAGAGAGGGCAGAAGCAGAGGAGACGAGUUUUUACACAAAAAAAAUGGGUUUCUAGAGAUGAAAGAUGUGAGAAUGUCAAGAACCACAAGCCCUAACCCGUUCUGCCCCUUUUGAAAAAAUUUUCGUCGCUCAGUUUUAAAGCUUGAGCGGCACCAAGGCAACAGGGACGAAGCAAAUCACACUGAUCACGGAGGAUUUCUCAUCUGUUAACAGAGGGUUUUCAAAAAAAGGAAACUCAAACAAGCGGAAGUCUGCCUUUUGUGGAUGCAGCAAGAUCUCCAACGAGCGUCCCAUGUGUAAGAAUAGGAAAACAAGAGCCAGAAGAAGAGAAGGAAGGAGUACCCAGUUUUAGGGGUUUUCAACCAAGGGGCUGCUCACAGCUAAUCAUAUUCAGGAGAGCUUGCUAGGUAUAUAUUGUCCAGCCUUAGGUUUUCCCCAAACCCUAGCUGCGGUUCCUUGAAA
Molecule: long non-coding RNA, 967 nt
Organism: Nymphaea colorata (pocket water lily)
Lineage: Eukaryota; Viridiplantae; Streptophyta; Magnoliopsida; Nymphaeales; Nymphaeaceae
Exons: 2
Source: RefSeq, a predicted model, not a curated record